This 74-nucleotide transfer RNA is filed under the name Zootermopsis nevadensis. It matches the Rfam family "tRNA". From Rfam's summary of the family: Transfer RNA (tRNA) molecules are approximately 80 nucleotides in length. Their secondary structure includes four short double-helical elements and three loops (D, anti-codon, and T loops). Lineage: Eukaryota; Metazoa; Arthropoda; Insecta; Blattodea; Termopsidae. The record is from Rfam by way of RNAcentral.
GCCACGGUGGUCUAGCGGUUAGAACGCUGGUCUUGUAAUCCUGGGGUCUCGGGUUCGAUUCCCCGGCGGUGCCC